This 253-nucleotide ribosomal RNA is filed under the name uncultured bacterium. RNAcentral's name for it is "partial 16S ribosomal RNA". It matches the Rfam family "Bacterial small subunit ribosomal RNA", at positions 524 to 776 of the family's 1533-position model. The record is from RNAcentral.
UACAGAGGUCUCAAGCGUUGUUCGGAAUCACUGGGCGUAAAGGGUGUGUAGGCGGUGUGUCAAGUCAGAUGUGAAAGCCCGAAGCUCAACUUCGGAACCGCAUCCGAUACUGGCACGCUAGAGAAUUGAAGAGGAGUCUAGAAUUCACGGUGUAGCAGUGAAAUGCGUAGAUAUCGUGAGGAAUACCAAUUGCGAAGGCAGGACUCUGGGCAUAUUCUGACGCUGAGGCACGAAGGCUGGGGGAGCAAACGGG